CUGGCUCAGGAUGAACGCUGGCGGCGUGCCUAAUACAUGCAAGUCGAGCGAACGGACGAGAAGCUUGCUUCUCUGAUGUUAGCGGCGGACGGGUGAGUAACACGUGGAUAACCUACCUAUAAGACUGGGAUAACUUCGGGAAACCGGAGCUAAUACCGGAUAAUAUUUUGAACCGCAUGGUUCAAAAGUGAAAGACGGUCUUGCUGUCACUUAUAGAUGGAUCCGCGCUGCAUUAGCUAGUUGGUAAGGUAACGGCUUACCAAGGCAACGAUGCAUAGCCGACCUGAGAGGGUGAUCGGCCACACUGGAACUGAGACACGGUCCAGACUCCUACGGGAGGCAGCAGUAGGGAAUCUUCCGCAAUGGGCGAAAGCCUGACGGAGCAACGCCGCGUGAGUGAUGAAGGUCUUCGGAUCGUAAAACUCUGUUAUUAGGGAAGAACAUAUGUGUAAGUAACUGUGCACAUCUUGACGGUACCUAAUCAGAAAGCCACGGCUAACUACGUGCCAGCAGCCGCGGUAAUACGUAGGUGGCAAGCGUUAUCCGGAAUUAUUGGGCGUAAAGCGCGCGUAGGCGGUUUUUUAAGUCUGAUGUGAAAGCCCACGGCUCAACCGUGGAGGGUCAUUGGAAACUGGAAAACUUGAGUGCAGAAGAGGAAAGUGGAAUUCCAUGUGUAGCGGUGAAAUGCGCAGAGAUAUGGAGGAACACCAGUGGCGAAGGCGACUUUCUGGUCUGUAACUGACGCUGAUGUGCGAAAGCGUGGGGAUCAAACAGGAUUAGAUACCCUGGUAGUCCACGCCGUAAACGAUGAGUGCUAAGUGUUAGGGGGUUUCCGCCCCUUAGUGCUGCAGCUAACGCAUUAAGCACUCCGCCUGGGGAGUACGACCGCAAGGUUGAAACUCAAAGGAAUUGACGGGGACCCGCACAAGCGGUGGAGCAUGUGGUUUAAUUCGAAGCAACGCGAAGAACCUUACCAAAUCUUGACAUCCUUUGACAACUCUAGAGAUAGAGCCUUCCCCUUCGGGGGACAAAGUGACAGGUGGUGCAUGGUUGUCGUCAGCUCGUGUCGUGAGAUGUUGGGUUAAGUCCCGCAACGAGCGCAACCCUUAAGCUUAGUUGCCAUCAUUAAGUUGGGCACUCUAAGUUGACUGCCGGUGACAAACCGGAGGAAGGUGGGGAUGACGUCAAAUCAUCAUGCCCCUUAUGAUUUGGGCUACACACGUGCUACAAUGGACAAUACAAAGGGCAGCGAAACCGCGAGGUCAAGCAAAUCCCAUAAAGUUGUUCUCAGUUCGGAUUGUAGUCUGCAACUCGACUACAUGAAGCUGGAAUCGCUAGUAAUCGUAGAUCAGCAUGCUACGGUGAAUACGUUCCCGGGUCUUGUACACACCGCCCGUCACACCACGAGAGUUUGUAACACCCGAAGCCGGUGGAGUAACCUUUUAGGAGCUAGCCGUCGAAGGUGGGACAAAUGAUUGGGGUGAAGUCGUAACAAGGUAGCCGUAUCGGAAGGUGCGGCUGGAUCACCUCCUUUCUAA
Molecule: ribosomal RNA, 1538 nt
Filed under: Staphylococcus aureus
Lineage: Bacteria; Bacillati; Bacillota; Bacilli; Caryophanales; Staphylococcaceae
Description: partial 16S ribosomal RNA
Rfam family: Bacterial small subunit ribosomal RNA
Source: RNAcentral